CUGGUUGAUCCUGCCAGUAGUCAUAUGCUUGUCUCAAGACUAAGCCAUGCAUGUCUAAGUAUGAAUGAUAUACAGUGAAACUGCGAAUGGCUCAUUAAAACAGUUAUAGUUUAUUUGAUGAUGACUUUCUACAUGGAUAACUGUGGAAAACUAGAGCUAAUACAUGCAACUAAAGCCCCGACUUCUGGGAGGGGUGUAUUUAUUAGAUAAAAAACCAACGCGGCUCGCCGCUCGUUUGGUGAUUCAUAAUAACUUUUCGAAUCGCAUGGCCUUGUGCUGGCGAUGCUUCAUUCAAAUAUCUGCCCUAUCAACUUUCGAUGGUAGGAAAGGUGGCCUACCAUGGUUUCACGGGUAACGGGAAUACGGUUCGAUUCCGGAGAGGGAGCUGAGAAACGCUACACAUCCAUGGAGCAGCAGGCGCGCAAAUACCCAUCCCGACACGGGGAGGUAGUGACAUAUAACGAUAUAGGGCUCUUAGUUAUAAUUGAUGGAUCAUUCCAUCCCUACGAGAACAUGAGCAUCUUGUAGGCAAUUCAGCACUGCGCGUUAUAAUGGAUUCGAGUGUACAA
Molecule: ribosomal RNA, 569 nt
Filed under: uncultured eukaryote
Lineage: Eukaryota
Description: bacterial SSU rRNA
Rfam family: Eukaryotic small subunit ribosomal RNA
Source: RNAcentral